This 253-nucleotide ribosomal RNA is filed under the name uncultured bacterium. Its description in RNAcentral is "partial 16S ribosomal RNA". It matches the Rfam family "Bacterial small subunit ribosomal RNA", at positions 524 to 776 of the family's 1533-position model. The record is from RNAcentral.
GACGAACCGUACGAACGUUAUUCGGAAUCACUGGGCUUAAAGGGUGCGUAGGCUGCGCAGCAAGUUGGGUGUGAAAUCCCUCGGCUUAACCGAGGAACUGCGCCCAAAACUGCUGUGCUCGAGGGAGAUAGAGGUGAGCGGAACUUAGGGUGGAGCGGUGAAAUGCGUUGAUAUCCUAAGGAACACCGGUGGCGAAAGCGGCUCACUGGACACGUAUUGACGCUGAGGUGCGAAAGCGUGGGGAGCAAACAGG